This 566-nucleotide ribosomal RNA is filed under the name Vishniacozyma carnescens. RNAcentral's name for it is "eukaryotic LSU rRNA". It matches the Rfam family "Eukaryotic large subunit ribosomal RNA", at positions 67 to 624 of the family's 3401-position model. Lineage: Eukaryota; Fungi; Basidiomycota; Tremellomycetes; Tremellales; Bulleribasidiaceae. The record is from RNAcentral.
AACUAGGAUUCCCUUAGUAACGGCGAGUGAACCGGGAUGAGCUCAAAUUUGAAAUCUGGCGUCUUUCAGGCGUCCGAGUUGUAAUCUAUAGAGGCGUUUUCCGCGCCGGACCGCGUCCAAGUCUCUUGGAAUAGAGUAUCAAAGAGGGUGACAAUCCCGUACUUGACGCGACAACCGGUGCUCUGUGAUACGUUCUCAAUGAGUCGAGUUGUUUGGGAAUGCAGCUCUAAAUGGGUGGUAAAUUCCAUCUAAGGCUAAAUAUUGGCGAGAGACCGAUAGCGAACAAGUACCGUGAGGGAAAGAUGAAAAGCACUUUGGAAAGAGAGUUAAACAGCACGUGAAAUUGUUAAAAGGGAAACGAUUGAAGUCAGUCGUGUGGGAAGUAUUCAGCCGUCUCUGGCGGUGUAUUUGCUUCUCACGGGUCAACAUCAGUUUGAUCCGGUAGAAAAAGGCGGGAAGAAGGUGGCACCCUCGGGUGUGUUAUAGCUUCCUGUCAUAUGUGCCGGACCAGACUGAGGAACGCAGCUUGCAGCAAUGCCGGGGUUCGCCCACGUACAAGCUAGGAU